GCCGUUACCUCACCAACAAGCUGAUAGGCCGCGAGCUCAUCCCUGACCGAAGUUCUUUCCAGCUGCUGAAGAUGCCUUCGCAGCUCGUAUCCAGUAUUAGACGCCGUUUCCAGCGCUUAUCCCAGAGUCAGGGGCAGAUUGCUCACGUGUUACUCACCCGUUCGCCACUGAUCCAGCAGAGCAAGCUCCGCCUUCACCGUUCGACUUGCAUGUGUUAAGCACGCC
Molecule: ribosomal RNA, 225 nt
Filed under: uncultured Microbacterium sp.
Lineage: Bacteria; Bacillati; Actinomycetota; Actinomycetes; Micrococcales; Microbacteriaceae
Description: partial 16S ribosomal RNA
Source: RNAcentral